UCCAUAAGCGACUUCCGAGUUGUCCUCUCCCACCGGGAAGGGCAAACGUCAGGGCCGGGGAGCAAUCCCUUGACCUGCUAUUGGGCAAAGGAAGGUACUCUUUGUAGGG
RNAcentral lists this non-coding RNA (109 nucleotides) under Moorella thermoacetica ATCC 39073. The record is from RNAcentral. Lineage: Bacteria; Bacillati; Bacillota; Clostridia; Neomoorellales; Neomoorellaceae.